RNAcentral lists this ribosomal RNA (253 nucleotides) under uncultured bacterium. RNAcentral's name for it is "partial 16S ribosomal RNA". It matches the Rfam family "Bacterial small subunit ribosomal RNA", at positions 524 to 776 of the family's 1533-position model. The record is from RNAcentral.
UACGGGGGGGGUAAGCGUUGUUCGGAAUUACUGGGCGUAAAGGGCUCGUAGGCGGCCAACUAAGUCGGACGUGAAAUCCCUCAGCUUAACUGGGGAACUGCGUCCGAGACUGGAUGGCUUGGAUUUGGGAGAGGGAUGCGGAAUUCCAGGUGUAGCGGUGAAAUGCGUAGAUAUCUGGAGGAACACCGGUGGCGAAGGCGGCAUCCUGGACCAAUAUUGACGCUGAGGAGCGAAAGCCAGGGGAGCAAACGGG